GUGCUCGCUUCAGCAGCACAUAUACUAAAAUUGGAACCACACAGAGAAGAUUAGCAUGGCCCCUGCAAAAGGAGGACACGCAAAUUCGUGAAGCGUUCCAUAUUUUU
This is a small nuclear RNA of Cervus hanglu yarkandensis (Yarkand deer), 107 nucleotides long. NCBI's taxonomy places the organism in Eukaryota, Metazoa, Chordata, Mammalia, Artiodactyla, Cervidae. The record is from Ensembl.